AUGUCAACAUGAGCAAAUUUGGGCCUUCAAGAUAGAGCUUCCCCUCUAAUAGAACAAUUAACAUUCUUCCACGAUCAUGCCAUACUUAUUUUAAUUAUAAUCACUAUUCUAGUAGGUUAUAUUAUAAUUAUAUUAUUCUCUAAUAUUUACACUAACCGAUUCCUGCUCCAUGGCCAAACUAUUGAAAUAAUUUGAACCAUCUUACCAGCUAUUGUUUUACUAUUCAUUGCCUUCCCCUCACUCCGAUUACUUUACCUUCUAGAUGAAAUUAAUGAACCAAUUAUUACACUAAAAACAAUUGGUCAUCAGUGAUACUGAAGCUAUGAAUAUUCAGACUUUAUUGAUUUAGAAUUUGACUCAUACAUAAUUCCAACAAAUGACCUAUCCACAGAUGGAUUCCGCCUACUAGAUGUCGACAAUCAUAUUGUCCUCCCCAUAAAUACCCAAAUCCGAAUUUUAGUUACAGCUGCAGAUGUAAUCCAUUCAUGAACUAUCCCAGCCCUAGGCAUUAAGGUAGACGGAACUCCGGGUCGAUUAAAUCAAACAAAUUUUACCAUUAACCGACCAGGAUUAUACUACGGCCAAUGCUCUGAAAUUUGUGGAGCAAACCACAGUUUUAUGCCAAUUGUAAUUGAAAGUGUACCUGCUAAUUAUUUCAUUAAAUGAUUACAU
RNAcentral lists this ribosomal RNA (672 nucleotides) under Mydas ventralis. RNAcentral describes it as "partial 16S ribosomal RNA". The record is from RNAcentral. Lineage: Eukaryota; Metazoa; Arthropoda; Insecta; Diptera; Mydidae.